This is a long non-coding RNA of Cercocebus atys (sooty mangabey), 147 nucleotides long. RefSeq lists it as uncharacterized. The record is from RefSeq and is a predicted model, not a curated record. NCBI's taxonomy places the organism in Eukaryota, Metazoa, Chordata, Mammalia, Primates, Cercopithecidae. The transcript has 2 exons.
GGAGACAGAGCAUACCCUGUCUUAAAAAAAAAAAAAAAAGGUUAAAAUUUGGAGGGUAACUCCCAGCUAGAAAGGAAGAAAAACUCUAAAGUGGAAUCGCCUUCCCCCGGAAGCUGUUGUAAAAAUUAAAGGAUGUAUGUGAGUGCA